CAUCCGCCCCAACAAAAACUCAAAGACACUUGCCGCCGCCGCUAAUCACGUGCUCGACCGCUCCAUCCAUCGCGCCUGACGCUGCUAAUCCCGACGCUCGCCUCUGCCGCGGCAGCGAGCAAGCUUGGUGACGGUGGCUGCCGUGCUCCCGCGCAGCAGUCUCCUCCCCGUCACUGCCGCGGCGGCCGGCGUGCUAUCUGCUGUGGCGCUGUCUUCGUCGUGAUCUUGGAGGACGAAGGGCUCCUGCUGCUCACGGUACGCAAAAAUCUACUAAUCACACCAUUGCCGAGCGAGAUCAUUGUGGGUCAGGGAUCCACACGUUCGGUGGUUGGUGGAGUCUCAGGCAUCCACACGUUCGGCGGCCGGUGCGGCAGUGCAGAUCAGUCCUCCACGGAAAAUGGGAACACCAAGAGAGGGACGCAUUGCGCUCAACGAUGUAACAAACAUACAUACUCUAGCUUGCAACGAAGAACAACUCAAGAGAGAGAGAAAGAAUAGAAAACAACGUGUGUACCGUGCUAGAAAAAGGGCUCAAAAAACGGACGAGGAACAGGAGGAGAUGGAUACGAGGCAGCGUGAGUAUUGUGCUCGCCGAAAGGCUGAAACAAGUGUACUUUCAUAUGCACCGGAUCAACUAGGUGCAUGAUCUUCACUAUUCUUGCGU
Molecule: long non-coding RNA, 664 nt
Organism: Sorghum bicolor (sorghum)
Lineage: Eukaryota; Viridiplantae; Streptophyta; Magnoliopsida; Poales; Poaceae
Exons: 3
Source: RefSeq, a predicted model, not a curated record